UGUUCCUAGAUGAGUCAACCGAUGGA
RNAcentral lists this non-coding RNA (26 nucleotides) under Mus musculus (house mouse). The record is from RNAcentral. Lineage: Eukaryota; Metazoa; Chordata; Mammalia; Rodentia; Muridae.